GACGAACGCUGGCGGCGUGCUUAACACAUGCAAGUCGAACGGAAAGGCCCUGCUUUUGUGGGGUGCUCGAGUGGCGAACGGGUGAGUAACACGUGAGUAACCUGCCCUUGACUUUGGGAUAACUUCAGGAAACUGGGGCUAAUACCGGAUAGGAGCUCCUGCUGCAUGGUGGGGGUUGGAAAGUUUCGGCGGUUGGGGAUGGACUCGCGGCUUAUCAGCUUGUUGGUGGGGUAGGGGCUUACCAAGGCUUUGACGGGUAGCCGGCCUGAGAGGGUGACCGGCGACAAUGGGACUGCGAGAGGGCGCAGACGCGUACGGGAGGCAGCAGUCGGGAGUAUUGCACAGUGGGCGGAAGCCAGAGGCAGCAACGCCGCGUGCGGGAUGACGGCCUACGGGUGGUAAACCGCUUUCGCCUGUGACGAAGCGUGAGUGACGGUAACGGGUAAAGAAGCACCGGCUAACUACGUG
RNAcentral lists this ribosomal RNA (468 nucleotides) under uncultured bacterium. Its description in RNAcentral is "partial 16S ribosomal RNA". It matches the Rfam family "Bacterial small subunit ribosomal RNA", at positions 28 to 507 of the family's 1533-position model. The record is from RNAcentral.